Molecule: small nucleolar RNA, 134 nt
Organism: Sander lucioperca (pikeperch)
Lineage: Eukaryota; Metazoa; Chordata; Actinopteri; Perciformes; Percidae
Source: Ensembl
AAUGCCCCUUGAGGCGUUGCAGCCCAACUGUCGUGUUGCAGCUGUGUCACAAGGCGGCAGAGAGAGACGGUGGUGGUCUGCACUGAGACUCAGAAACACACGGAGGACUCGGAGUGAUUCCCUCCACCGACAGU